UGUGGGAUAACAGUCCGAAAGGAUUGCUAAUACCGCAUGUGGUCCUCAGGCUUAGAAACUGAUGACUAAAGGAGCAAUUCGCUUUGGGAGGGACCUGCGUCCCAUCAGCUAGUUGGUGAGGUAAUGGCUCACCAAGGCGACGACGGGUAGGGGACCUGAGAGGGUGACCCCCCACAAUGGAACUGAAACACGGUUCAUACACCUACGGGUGGCAGCAGUAGGGAAUAUUGCACAAUGGGCGAAAGCCUGAUGCAGCAACGCCGCGUGCACGAUGAAGGCCUUCGGGUCGUAAAGUGCUUUUCUGCGAGAUGAGAAAGGACAGUAUCGUAGGAAUAAGUCUCGGCUAACUACGUGCCAGCAGCCGCGGUAAUACGAAGGACCCGAGCGUUAUCCGGAUUUAUUGGGUUUAAAGGGUGCGUAGGCGUCCUGGAAAGUUACGGUUGAAAUCUCCUUGCUCAACAAGGAAACUGGCCGUAAAACUAUCAGGAUUGAGUACAUUUGAAGCGGGCGGAAUGUGUCAUGUAGCGGUGAAAUGCUUAGAUAUGACACAGAACACCAAUUGCGAAGGCAGCUCGCUAAACUGUAACUGACGCUGAGGCACGAAAGCGUGGGGAUCAAACAGGAUUAGAUACCCUGGUAGUCCACGCCCUAAACGAUGAUUACUCGAUGUGUGCGAUACACUGUACGCGUCUGAGCGAAAGCAUUAAGUAAUCCACCUGGGGAGUACGAUCGCAAGAUUGAAACUCAAAGGAAUUGACGGGGGCCCGCACAAGCGGAGGAGCAUGUGGUUUAAUUCGAUGAUACGCGAGGAACCUUACCUGGGCUUGAAAGUUAGUGAAGCAAGCAGAAACGUUUGCGUCAGCAAUGACACGAAACUAGGUGCUGCAUGGCUGUCGUCAGCUCGUGCCGUGAGGUGUUGGGUUAGGUCCCGCAACGAGCGCAACCCCUAUCUUUAGUUGCCAUCAGGUAAUGCUGGGGACUCUAAAGAGACUGCCCGCGUAAGCGUGGAGGAAGGUGGGGAUGACGUCAAGUCAUCACGGCCCUUACGUCCAGGGCUACACACGUGCUACAAUGGCCGGUACAAUGGGCAGCCACAUGGCAACAUGGAGCUAAUCCUAUAAAGCCGGUCUCAGUUCGGAUUGAGGUCUGCAACUCGACACUUAUGAAGCUGGAUUCGCUAGUAAUCGUAGAUCAGCAAUGCUACGGUGAAUACGUUCCCGGGCCAUUGUACUCACCG
RNAcentral lists this ribosomal RNA (1237 nucleotides) under uncultured bacterium. RNAcentral's name for it is "partial 16S ribosomal RNA". It matches the Rfam family "Bacterial small subunit ribosomal RNA", at positions 137 to 1392 of the family's 1533-position model. The record is from RNAcentral.